ACAAGCGGUGGAGCAUGUGUUAAUUCGAAGCAACGCGAAGAACCUUACCAGGUCUUGACAUCCCGAUGCUAUUUCUAGAGAUAGAAAGUUACUUCGGUACAUCGGUGACGGGUGGUGCAUGGUUGUCGUCAGCUCGUGUCGUGAGAUGUUGGGUUAAGUCCCGCAACGAGCGCAACCCCUAUUGUUAGUUGCCAUCAUUCAGUUGGGCACUCUAGCGAGACUGCCGGUAAUAAACCGGAGGAAGUGGGGAUGACGUCAAAUCAUCAUGCCCCUUAUGACCUGGGCUACACACGUGCUACAAUGGUUGGUACAACGAGUUGCGAGUCGGUGACGGCGAGCUAAUCUCUUAAAGCCAAUCUCAGUUCGGAUUGUAGGCUGCAACUCGCCUACAUGAAGUCGGAAUCGCUAGUAAUCGCGGAUCAGCACGCCGCGGUGAAUACGUUCCCGGGCCUU
RNAcentral lists this ribosomal RNA (453 nucleotides) under uncultured Streptococcus sp. RNAcentral describes it as "bacterial SSU rRNA". It matches the Rfam family "Bacterial small subunit ribosomal RNA", at positions 925 to 1382 of the family's 1533-position model. Lineage: Bacteria; Bacillati; Bacillota; Bacilli; Lactobacillales; Streptococcaceae. The record is from RNAcentral.